UACGGAGGGGGUUAGCGUUGUUCGGAAUUACUGGGCGUAAAGCGUACGUAGGCGGAUUAGUCAGUCAGAGGUGAAAUCCCAGGGCUCAACCCUGGAACUGCCUUUGAUACUGCUUGGCUCGAGACCGGAAGAGGGUAGUGGAAUUCCCAGUGUAGAGGUGAAAUUCGUAGAUAUUGGGAAGAACACCAGUGGCGAAGGCGGCUCACUGGCUCGAUACUGACGCUGAGGUGCGAAAGUGUGGGGAGCAAACAGG
RNAcentral lists this ribosomal RNA (253 nucleotides) under uncultured bacterium. RNAcentral's name for it is "partial 16S ribosomal RNA". It matches the Rfam family "Bacterial small subunit ribosomal RNA", at positions 524 to 776 of the family's 1533-position model. The record is from RNAcentral.